RNAcentral lists this ribosomal RNA (1499 nucleotides) under Dickeya chrysanthemi. RNAcentral's name for it is "bacterial SSU rRNA". It matches the Rfam family "Bacterial small subunit ribosomal RNA". Lineage: Bacteria; Pseudomonadati; Pseudomonadota; Gammaproteobacteria; Enterobacterales; Pectobacteriaceae. The record is from RNAcentral.
UGCAUGGCAUAAGUUUUUUUUUGGCUCAGAUUGAACGCUGGCGGCAGGCCUAACACAUGCAAGUCGGGCGGUAGCACAAGGGAGCUUGCUCCCUGGGUGACGAGCGGCGGACGGGUGAGUAAUGUCUGGGAAACUGCCUGAUGGAGGGGGAUAACUACUGGAAACGGUAGCUAAUACCGCAUAACGUCGCAAGACCAAAGAGGGGGACCUUCGGGCCUCUUGCCAUCGGAUGUGCCCAGAUGGGAUUAGCUAGUAGGUGGGGUAAAGGCUCACCUAGGCGACGAUCCCUAGCUGGUCUGAGAGGAUGACCAGCCACACUGGAACUGAGACACGGUCCAGACUCCUACGGGAGGCAGCAGUGGGGAAUAUUGCACAAUGGGCGCAAGCCUGAUGCAGCCAUGCCGCGUGUGUGAAGAAGGCCUUCGGGUUGUAAAGCACUUUCAGCGGGGAGGAAGGGAGCAGACUUAAUACGUCUGUUCAUUGACGUUACCCGCAGAAGAAGCACCGGCUAACUCCGUGCCAGCAGCCGCGGUAAUACGGAGGGUGCAAGCGUUAAUCGGAAUGACUGGGCGUAAAGCGCACGCAGGCGGUCUGUUAAGUUGGAUGUGAAAUCCCCGGGCUUAACCUGGGAACUGCAUUCAAAACUGACAGGCUAGAGUCUCGUAGAGGGGGGUAGAAUUCCAGGUGUAGCGGUGAAAUGCGUAGAGAUCUGGAGGAAUACCGGUGGCGAAGGCGGCCCCCUGGACGAAGACUGACGCUCAGGUGCGAAAGCGUGGGGAGCAAACAGGAUUAGAUACCCUGGUAGUCCACGCUGUAAACGAUGUCGAUUUGGAGGUUGUGCCCUUGAGGCGUGGCUUCCGGAGCUAACGCGUUAAAUCGACCGCCUGGGGAGUACGGCCGCAAGGUUAAAACUCAAAUGAAUUGACGGGGGCCCGCACAAGCGGUGGAGCAUGUGGUUUAAUUCGAUGCAACGCGAAGAACCUUACCUACUCUUGACAUCCAGAGAAGCCUGCAGAGAUGCGGGUGUGCCUUCGGGAGCUCUGAGACAGGUGCUGCAUGGCUGUCGUCAGCUCGUGUUGUGAAAUGUUGGGUUAAGUCCCGCAACGAGCGCAACCCUUAUCCUUUGUUGCCAGCACUUCGGGUGGGAACUCAAGGGAGACUGCCGGUGAUAAACCGGAGGAAGGUGGGGAUGACGUCAAGUCAUCAUGGCCCUUACGAGUAGGGCUACACACGUGCUACAAUGGCGUAUACAAAGAGAAGCGACCUCGCGAGAGCAAGCGGACCUCAUAAAGUACGUCGUAGUCCGGAUUGGAGUCUGCAACUCGACUCCAUGAAGUCGGAAUCGCUAGUAAUCGUAGAUCAGAAUGCUACGGUGAAUACGUUCCCGGGCCUUGUACACACCGCCCGUCACACCAUGGGAGUGGGUUGCAAAAGAAGUAGGUAGCUUAACCUUCGGGAGGGCGCUUACCACUUUGUGAUUCAUGACUGGGGUGAAGUCG